RNAcentral lists this transfer RNA (80 nucleotides) under Pleurotus ostreatus (oyster mushroom). Its description in RNAcentral is "tRNA-Val". Lineage: Eukaryota; Fungi; Basidiomycota; Agaricomycetes; Agaricales; Pleurotaceae. The record is from RNAcentral.
GGUUCGAUGGCGUAGUUGGUUAUCGCAUCUGUCUAACAUUUGUUCACAGAAGGUCCUCAGUUCGAACCUGGGUCGAAUCA